UACGUAGGGGGCAAGCGUUGUCCGGAUUUAUUGGGCGUAAAGAGCGUGUAGGCGGCCAGACAGGUCAGCUGUGAAAACUCGAGGCUCAACCUCGAGACGUCGGUUGAAACCGUCUGGCUAGAGUCCGGAAGAGGAGAGUGGAAUUCCCGGUGUAGCGGUGAAAUGCGCAGAUAUCGCUCGGAACUCCGGUGGCGAAGGCGAGGUGCUGGACCCUUUCUGACGCUGAGGCGCGAAAGCCAGGGGAGCAAACGGG
This 253-nucleotide ribosomal RNA is filed under the name uncultured prokaryote. RNAcentral's name for it is "partial 16S ribosomal RNA". It matches the Rfam family "Bacterial small subunit ribosomal RNA", at positions 524 to 776 of the family's 1533-position model. The record is from RNAcentral.